RNAcentral lists this ribosomal RNA (644 nucleotides) under Salmonella enterica subsp. enterica serovar Muenster. Its description in RNAcentral is "bacterial LSU rRNA". It matches the Rfam family "Bacterial large subunit ribosomal RNA", at positions 170 to 853 of the family's 2925-position model. Lineage: Bacteria; Pseudomonadati; Pseudomonadota; Gammaproteobacteria; Enterobacterales; Enterobacteriaceae. The record is from RNAcentral.
GUUAAUGAGGCGAACCGGGGGAACUGAAACAUCUAAGUACCCCGAGGAAAAGAAAUCAACCGAGAUUCCCCCAGUAGCGGCGAGCGAACGGGGAGGAGCCCAGAGCCUGAAUCAGCAUGUGUGUUAGUGGAAGCGUCUGGAAAGGCGCGCGAUACAGGGUGACAGCCCCGUACACAAAAGCGCAUGUGCUGUGAGCUCGAUGAGUAGGGCGGGACACGUGGUAUCCUGUCUGAAUAUGGGGGGACCAUCCUCCAAGGCUAAAUACUCCUGACUGACCGAUAGUGAACCAGUACCGUGAGGGAAAGGCGAAAAGAACCCCGGCGAGGGGAGUGAAAAAGAACCUGAAACCGUGUACGUACAAGCAGUGGGAGCACAGGUUUACCUGUGUGACUGCGUACCUUUUGUAUAAUGGGUCAGCGACUUAUAUUCUGUAGCAAGGUUAACCGAAUAGGGGAGCCGGAGGGAAACCGAGUCUUAAUUGGGCGUUAAGUUGCAGGGUAUAGACCCGAAACCCGGUGAUCUAGCCAUGGGCAGGUUGAAGGUUGGGUAACACUAACUGGAGGACCGAACCGACUAAUGUUGAAAAAUUAGCGGAUGACCUGUGGCUGGGGGUGAAAGGCCAAUCAAACCGGGAGAUAGCUGGU